RNAcentral lists this transfer RNA (74 nucleotides) under Candidatus Odyssella acanthamoebae. RNAcentral's name for it is "endosymbiont of Acanthamoeba sp. UWC9 tRNA". It matches the Rfam family "tRNA". Rfam says of the family: Transfer RNA (tRNA) molecules are approximately 80 nucleotides in length. Their secondary structure includes four short double-helical elements and three loops (D, anti-codon, and T loops). The record is from Rfam by way of RNAcentral. Lineage: Bacteria; Pseudomonadati; Pseudomonadota; Alphaproteobacteria; Holosporales; Candidatus Paracaedibacteraceae.
CGCGGGGUAGAGCAGCCCGGUAGCUCGUCAGGCUCAUAACCUGAAGGUCGUAGGUUCAAAUCCUGCCCCCGCAA